UUGCUACUCAUCUAUUUAUAUAUGAGCUAGAGGCAGAUAAAAUAAAUAAAUCUUUAACUCUCUUACCCGUAUGGAUGACGUCUGCCUUGAGCUCUUGAAUGUUCUUUAAAAACUUCACGUCGUGUGGACCGAAGAGCACGUAGUUUCCAGUAUCCACAGCAUUUGCAACUGAAAAUAAGUUCUUCUUCAUCUCAGGUACAUGAAACACACUCUUGAGUGUGAUUGGAUCUUCAUCUCCUCCGUUGAUAACAAUGGUGCCUUCACUCUUGACCGGAUGGACUGUAUUGUCUGCUGUCACAAUGGCCUCACCACCAUUGUAUUCUUGGAUGCUUGAAAAUUUGGAGUUAUCUCCAGUGAGAUGAUGGCCACAGCCGGAGUCAACAAUCCAAUCGUCUUCAAAAUUGAUGGAAGCUAGCGCAUCGACUUGUCUUGUUUCUGCCACAAAUCACUUUCCCCAAUCUUCUUUUUCUUCAACCUUUUCUGCUCCAGCCAUAUUUCCUUCUUUUAGCAUCGCCCGACAGAACCUUUUGAUAUGCCCUGUUCUGCCACAUCAAUAGCAUUUGAAAACCUUUUUGUGAUUUUCAGAUGAUUCAUCUUUUCUCUCAUUUGAGCUAUUGGGAGGUGAUUGGUAUGGUGGAAUGGAGGUGGGAAUGGAAUGGUGAUUCCUACCUCCAUUCCAUUCCUAUGCUUGGUAUAGUUUUAUUUUAGGAAUCACCAUUCCUUUACAUAUAGGAAUCAUCAUUCCUUCCUUCCAACAUGGUAUUACCCAUUCCAUUCCAUUCCAUUCCAUUUCUAAUUCCACCUAAAUUCAGGUUUUGACAAAAUUACUCUUAUAUAUUUUGCACCCUCAUCCCCAACCCCACCCCACACCCCUCCCACCCCCCCCCCAAAAAAAAAAAAUUAUUUUUAUUUUUUUAAAAAAAUUCUCGCCACCCCACCCCCCCAAUUUUUUUUUUUAAGUUUUCUCGCCACCACCACACCCCACCCACCCCUCCCUCCCUUCCUAAUUUUUUUUUUCUCCCCACCCCACCUGCCACCNAAUUGUUAUGUAUAAUUUUUUUAUUAAUUUUUUAAAAAUUAUAUUAUAUUAUACUCCCUCCGUCCCCAAAAUAAGUUCCUCUUUGGGGACGGCACGGGUUUUAAGAGAAAAUGGUAAAGUAUAUUGAUAGUGGAGAAAAAUAUGUUAUAAUUAGUAUUGGGAGUGGUUAAAAGGUGAAAAAGUAUUAUAAUUAGUAUUGGGAGUGGUGAAAAAGUGAAAAGUAAGAAUAAAUAAAGUAUUAUUAGUGGUGGGGUAGUUGUCCAAAAAUUGAAAGAAAGAAAGAGGAACUUAUUUGGGGGACGUUCCAAAAAGGAAAAAGAUGAACUUAUUUCAGGGACGGAGGGAGUAUAACAUAUUUUUCUCCACUAUCAAUACACUUUACCAUUUUUUCUUAAAACCCGUGCCGUCCCCAAAGAGGAACUUAUUUUGGGGACGGAGGGAGUAUUUGAUUUGAUAUAUUAAAUUAUUGACAAUUUGAGUUAUUUGCUUUGUGUUCUUUUUUUUAUUGAUAAGAAAUUAAACAAAAAAUAUUAUUUUGUCAACUAAUUGUCAUGCAAUAAUAAAUACAUCACGUCAAAAUUGGCACACCAUAUAUUGGCUUGCUAUUUGGCCGAAAUUUGGAUUAGUAGCAAAAUCAGAUAAAAUCAAAAGUUUAGUAAUUAUCACGCCACAGUUCAAAGUUUGUGUGCAAAACCAGAAUUGAAUGAAAGUUUAGUAUUUUAUGGGCAAUUAACCCCAUCUUUAAUGAAUUCUCCCUCAUUGUCAGUUCGUAAUCGCUUGAUUUUUGAAUCGAGCUCUCCUUCAACCAAUUCCUUGAAUUCUUUAAAUAUGCUAAAAACCUGUGACUUGUGUUGUAGAAAGUAAACCCAAGUGUAUCUGCUGAAAUCAUCAACAAGGAUUAGUAUAAAAGAAUUUUCAGAAUAUGAAGGAGUUCUAGUUGGUCCCAUCAAGUCACUAUGGAUAAGCUCCAAAGGGGCUUUACUCCGAGAAGAUGAUCUCUCAAAAGGAAGUCUGUGAGUCUUCCCAUAUUGACAUCCUUCACAAACUUGUCCGCCGCCAAAAUUUGUGAGAUUAGGCAACCCAUUUACUAAAUCUUUUUUCACCAUAACCUUUAAUUUAUCCAUACUUAGAUGUCUCAAUCUAGCAUACCAUAAAUGAGCAUUGUUGUUGCUACUCAUCUUAUUUAUAUAUGAGCUAGAGGCAGAUAAAAUAAAUAAAUCUUUAACUCUCUUACCAGUAUGGAUGACGUCUGCCUUGAGCUCUUGAAUGUUCUUUAAAAACUUCACGUCGUGUGGAUCGAAGAGCACGUAGUUUCCAGUAUCCACAGCAUUUGCAACUGAAAACAAGUUCUUCUUCAUCUCAGGUACAUGAAACACACUCUUGAGUGUGAUUGGAUCUUCAUCUCCUCCGUUGAUAACAAUGGUGCCUUCACUCUUGACCGGAUGGACUGUAUUGUCUGCUGUCACAAUGGCCUCACCACCAUUGUAUUCUUGGAUGCUUGAAAAUUUGGAGUUAUCUCUAGUGAGAUGAUGGCCACAGCCGGAGUCAACAAUCCAAUCGUCUUCAAAAUUGAUGGAAGCUAGCGCAUCGACUUGUCUUGUUUCUGCCACAAAUCACUUUCCCCAAUCUUCUUUUUCUUCAACCUUUU
Molecule: long non-coding RNA, 2687 nt
Filed under: Salvia miltiorrhiza (redroot sage)
Lineage: Eukaryota; Viridiplantae; Streptophyta; Magnoliopsida; Lamiales; Lamiaceae
Description: long non-coding RNA (SMIL_LNC006250)
Source: RNAcentral